AGAGCGAACGCUGGCGGCAGGCCUAAUACAUGCAAGUCGAACGAGCCCUUCGGGGUUAGUGGCGGACGGGUGAGUAACACGUGGGAACGUGCCUUUUGGUUCGGAACAACUCAGGGAAACUUGAGCUAAUACCGAAUGUGCCCUUCGGGGGAAAGAUUUAUCGCCAUUAGAGCGGCCCGCGUCUGAUUAGCUAGUUGGUGAGGUAAAGGCCCACCAAGGCUACGAUCAGUAGCUGGUCUGAGAGGAUGAUCAGCCACACUGGGACUGAGACACGGCCCAGACUCCUACGGGAGGCAGCAGUAGGGAAUCUUGCGCAAUGGGCGAAAGCCUGACGCAGCCAUGCCGCGUGAAUGAUGAAGGUCUUAGGAUUGUAAAAUUCUUUCAGCGGGGACGAUAAUGACGGUACCCGCAGAAGAAGCCCCGGCUAACUUCGCGCCAGCAGCCGC
This 446-nucleotide ribosomal RNA is filed under the name uncultured bacterium. RNAcentral's name for it is "SSU rRNA". It matches the Rfam family "Bacterial small subunit ribosomal RNA", at positions 26 to 518 of the family's 1533-position model. The record is from RNAcentral.